Molecule: unclassified non-coding RNA, 249 nt
Filed under: Hevea brasiliensis (rubber tree)
Lineage: Eukaryota; Viridiplantae; Streptophyta; Magnoliopsida; Malpighiales; Euphorbiaceae
Source: RNAcentral
AAAAAGUCCAGCUUUUGUGACACCUCCUUCAUCCAUCAUCUCACAAACUGAAGAAAGCAGAAAUCUAGCCAACUCAAUGGAGAAUUCUCCUUUAGAUAUGGCUUCAAAGUGCCCAGAUUCUUCUGUUUUGCUCACCCAUGAAAAUGCAAUAGGGAUCAUUGGGGGGUUAUCCAUUGGAACCACUCUCAAUUUUAUGAGCAAGCUUGUCACAUGGAGUUCUAAAGAUGGUGGAAAUAGCAUUCCCUUUGU